AUUGAACGCUGGCGGCAGGCCUAACACAUGCAAGUCGAGCGGAUGAAGGGAGCUUGCUCCUGGAUUCAGCGGCGGACGGGUGAGUAAUGCCUAGGAAUCUGCCUGGUAGUGGGGGAUAACGUCCGGAAACGGGCGCUAAUACCGCAUACGUCCUGAGGGAGAAAGUGGGGGAUCUUCGGACCUCACGCUAUCAGAUGAGCCUAGGUCGGAUUAGCUAGUUGGUGGGGUAAAGGCCUACCAAGGCGACGAUCCGUAACUGGUCUGAGAGUAUGAUCAGUCACACUGGAACUGAGACACGGUCCAGACUCCUACGGGAGGCAGCAGUGGGGAAUAUGGGACAAUGGGCGAAAGCCUGAUCCAGCCAUGCCGCGUGUGAAGAAGGUCUUCGGAUUGUAAAGCACUUUAAGUUGGGAGGAAGGGCAGUAAGUUAAUACCUUGCUGUUUUGACGUUACCAACAGAAUAAGCACCGGCUAACUUCGUG
RNAcentral lists this ribosomal RNA (482 nucleotides) under uncultured bacterium. RNAcentral's name for it is "partial 16S ribosomal RNA". It matches the Rfam family "Bacterial small subunit ribosomal RNA", at positions 30 to 507 of the family's 1533-position model. The record is from RNAcentral.